CAAAUUAAAGUCUUAGAGACUCUAUUAUUUACAUUAAUAGAAUAGUUGUGCAAAUCAACUUAAUUUGA
This 68-nucleotide transfer RNA is filed under the name Reduvius gregoryi. RNAcentral describes it as "tRNA-Val". The record is from RNAcentral. Lineage: Eukaryota; Metazoa; Arthropoda; Insecta; Hemiptera; Reduviidae.